AUUGGUAAAUAAAAUCUGUUCUUUUAGGUAUGGGUUGCUCUGGUCUAAGUUGGAUAUUGAAAUGUUUGAGUUUUUUGGUUUGGUGAGUAGUUACUUCUAUCCCUUUUCCAUUAUCUUUUUUGUCAUAUUUUUUUUAGCUAAUUGCUAUCUCAUUAAACUAUUGCAGGUCUAUUUCUUGCUCUUUUUUGCCAUCUUCCAUAUGGCUAAUUCUGCUUUCCAGCUU
RNAcentral lists this long non-coding RNA (223 nucleotides) under Nicotiana benthamiana. RNAcentral describes it as "long non-coding RNA (NBEN_LNC000701)". Lineage: Eukaryota; Viridiplantae; Streptophyta; Magnoliopsida; Solanales; Solanaceae. The record is from RNAcentral.